CUGGCUCCACACGCAAACUCCACACAGCUAACUCUCCCGCGUCUCUCUCUAGCUGCUCAUACACAAGAGAUAAGAGCCUCUCCACAAUGUCUGCCCGCCCGUCUGUGAGCGUGUACUCGGCGUCGUCCGACUCCGUUGUCGGGACGUGCCCGCUGCCGGCCGUGUUCACUGCGCCGAUCCGCAACGACAUCGUGAAGUUCGUGCACACGAACAUGGCGAAGAACUCGCGCCAGGCGUACGCGGUGAACCGCCUGUCCGGCAUGAACCACUCGGCGCACUCGUGGGGCACCGGCCGCGCCGUGGCGCGUAUUCCGCGCAUCAGCGGCGGUGGCACGAGCACGUCCGGCGCCGGUGCGUUCGGCAACAUGUGCCGUGGUGGCCGCAUGUUUGCGCCGACGAAGAUCUUCCGCCGCUGGCACCGCAAGAUCAACCUGCACCAGAAGCGCUUCGCUGUGGUGUCUGCGCUCGCCGCGUCGUCUGUGCCGUCGCUGGUGAUGUCGCGCGGCCACAGGAUCGACAACGUGCCGGAGGUGCCGCUGGUGGUGGAGGACUCGAUCCAGGGCUACGAGAAGACGAAGGAGGCCAUGGCGUUCCUGAAGGCGAUCGCUGCGAUCGACGACGUGAACCGCGUGAACGACUCGCGCGAGAUCCGUGCUGGCCGCGGCAAGAUGCGCAACCGCCGCUACGUGGCGCGCCGCGGUCCGAUGCUGGUGAUGCCGAACAACAAGGGCACGCGUGCGUUCCGCAACAUCUUCGGGCUGGACCUGGCGAACGUGAGCGCGCUGAACCUGCUGCACCUGGCGCCCGGUGGCCACGUUGGCCGCUUCGUGAUCUGGACGAAGUCGGCGUUCGAGCAGCUGGACAAGAUCUUCGGCACGUUCACGGAGGCUUCCGCUGUGAAGAAGGGCUUCACGCUGCCGGCGCCGAUGCUGACGAACACGGACGUGACGCGCAUCAUGCAGUCGGAGGAGGUGCGCCGCGUGCUGAAGCCGAAGAAGCUGCAGGCGAAGAAGGCGAGCCGCUACCAGACGCCGACGAACGGCAUCAAGAACCGCCGCCUGCGCCUGCGCCUGAACCCGUACGUGAAGCGCGAGACGGCUGCUGCGAAGGGCAUGCGCAACGUUGCCAACCGCGAUGCGCGCCGCAAGGCGAAGAUGGCGCGCGUGACGAAGGCGAAGAAGGCGGCGACCAAGUCGGCGAAGCAGUAAGCCGCCGCCGCGCCCGCUGCGCCUGGCGAGCCCUCUCUUCCCGCCCCCCUCGUCCGCCUCUCGCUGUCCUCCUCUCGCGUUCGCUGCCUUGGUGCCUCUCUCGGCACUAGUCUGCCGAGUGUUUUACUUUCGGAAGAGUACGCGAAGUGGGCGACCCUCGGCAUGCCGUUCUUUUCCUCUGUUUUCACCUUUGUCUAUUGUUUCGUUUUGGUUCUGUGCUCCGCUUGCCAUCUGCGAUCGAUGCACGGGGGGCUUGGAUGUGCUCUGCCGGAGUUCAGCGUAAGCAUAUAAAUUCUCGCGUUUCGUUUGGCCUUGUUUUAAAGUAGCACAUAAUCGCUGCGCGUUGGUGCCCUUCGACGGGGCGGUAUAAUCGCAGAUGGUUGCUCCAGUGAAGAUACACACACACUCACGGCCACCCACACAGAGUCGCUAGCACGCAUCGCGGUGGUGCAGCGACACGCCAGCGUGGGGGUGUGGCCUCUUUUUUUCCGGCCCUUCCACGGGCGUUGUGUGCUUUAUCGUCUUGGAACAGGUCGGAUACGCAGGUCGUGUGAUGACGUGCCUGUGAGUGCGCGUCUUGGUCUAGUCAGUGUCUCCUCUCGCUAGGGGGUGACAUCGUCGACUUGUGCUGCCGCGCUCGUUUACGUUUAUGAGCACCGUGCACUGCGCGCCGGUUAACCGAAGAAAAUGCGAGCAAAGAGGCUUGGCCGUGUAUCAGUACCGCUCUGAUGAGUCACAGGGGCUCGAGGCGCAGGAGGGCAUCAAACGGGAAAUCGCCUCAAGAGCCUCUUGGCUUCCGAGUGAGAGAGCGCCUGAGCGGGCGGUUGCACCCUCUUUGGGUGUCUCGGGGGUUGUCAGAUCAGUUCUCGUGACAGUUCCUGCCACCGUCUUCUGGGUGCCGCUCCGCUUCGAGUGCCAUGCUUGACGGGGGCGGUGCGGUCGUUUUGGGAUUGACGGGAGCCACCUAAGCGCCUUUCUCGCAACUGUCACCGCCAGCACUUGCCUUAUGCCUCUGCUUCGCUUUUCGUAGCUGCCGUACGUGUGUGUGUAUGCGUAGGAAGGUGUACGUGUGCCUCCUAUGCAUGGCCCCUCCUCUCCGUCCCCCUCCCCCACGCCCUGCAUGUCGUCCGUCCUCUUCCCUCUCCGUCCUCUCUUACUCUCGCCCUUAUACCUCCUUCACCUCCCCCUCUUUUCCGCGCGGCUGCAG
Molecule: unclassified non-coding RNA, 2415 nt
Filed under: Leishmania donovani
Lineage: Eukaryota; Euglenozoa; Kinetoplastea; Trypanosomatida; Trypanosomatidae
Description: gene:LdHU3.29.1620(CDS-product:ribosomal_protein_ L1a_putative)
Source: RNAcentral